UUAAAUUGAAGAGUUUGAUCAUGGCUCAGAUUGAACGCUGGCGGCAGGCCUAACACAUGCAAGUCGAACGGUAACAGGAAGCAGCUUGCUGCUUCGCUGACGAGUGGCGGACGGGUGAGUAAUGUCUGGGAAACUGCCUGAUGGAGGGGGAUAACUACUGGAAACGGUAGCUAAUACCGCAUAACGUCGCAAGACCAAAGAGGGGGACCUUCGGGCCUCUUGCCAUCGGAUGUGCCCAGAUGGGAUUAGCUUGUUGGUGGGGUAACGGCUCACCAAGGCGACGAUCCCUAGCUGGUCUGAGAGGAUGACCAGCCACACUGGAACUGAGACACGGUCCAGACUCCUACGGGAGGCAGCAGUGGGGAAUAUUGCACAAUGGGCGCAAGCCUGAUGCAGCCAUGCCGCGUGUAUGAAGAAGGCCUUCGGGUUGUAAAGUACUUUCAGCGGGGAGGAAGGGAGUAAAGUUAAUACCUUUGCUCAUUGACGUUACCCGCAGAAGAAGCACCGGCUAACUCCGUGCCAGCAGCCGCGGUAAUACGGAGGGUGCAAGCGUUAAUCGGAAUUACUGGGCGUAAAGCGCACGCAGGCGGUUUGUUAAGUCAGAUGUGAAAUCCCCGGGCUCAACCUGGGAACUGCAUCUGAUACUGGCAAGCUUGAGUCUCGUAGAGGGGGGUAGAAUUCCAGGUGUAGCGGUGAAAUGCGUAGAGAUCUGGAGGAAUACCGGUGGCGAAGGCGGCCCCCUGGACGAAGACUGACGCUCAGGUGC
Molecule: ribosomal RNA, 766 nt
Filed under: Escherichia coli
Lineage: Bacteria; Pseudomonadati; Pseudomonadota; Gammaproteobacteria; Enterobacterales; Enterobacteriaceae
Description: bacterial SSU rRNA
Rfam family: Bacterial small subunit ribosomal RNA
Source: RNAcentral